CCAACGGCUCUUUUAAGAGCCACACACAACCGCUGACAGAGCAACU
RNAcentral lists this non-coding RNA (46 nucleotides) under Xyrichtys novacula (pearly razorfish). It matches the Rfam family "Histone 3' UTR stem-loop". From Rfam's summary of the family: The mRNAs of metazoan histone genes lack a poly-A tail. 3' end processing occurs at a site between a highly conserved stem-loop (modelled by this family) and a purine rich region around 20 nts downstream (the histone downstream element, or HDE). The record is from RNAcentral. Lineage: Eukaryota; Metazoa; Chordata; Actinopteri; Labriformes; Labridae.